This 404-nucleotide ribosomal RNA is filed under the name uncultured bacterium. RNAcentral's name for it is "bacterial SSU rRNA". It matches the Rfam family "Bacterial small subunit ribosomal RNA", at positions 355 to 776 of the family's 1533-position model. The record is from RNAcentral.
UGGGGAAUAUUGGACAAUGGGCGCAAGCCUGAUCCAGCCAUGCCGCGUGAGUGAUGAAGGCCCUAGGGUUGUAAAGCUCUUUCACCGGUGAAGAUAAUGACGGUAACCGGAGAAGAAGCCCCGGCUAACUUCGUGCCAGCAGCCGCGGUAAUACGAAGGGGGCUAGCGUUGUUCGGAAUUACUGGGCGUAAAGCGCACGUAGGCGGAUUGUUAAGUGAGGGGUGAAAUCCCAGGGCUCAACCCUGGAACUGCCUUUCAUACUGGCAAUCUAGAGUCCAGAAGAGGUGAGUGGAAUUCCGAGUGUAGAGGUGAAAUUCGUAGAUAUUCGGAGGAACACCAGUGGCGAAGGCGGCUCACUGGUCUGGAACUGACGCUGAGGUGCGAAAGCGUGGGGAGCAAACAGG